This 316-nucleotide unclassified non-coding RNA is filed under the name Hevea brasiliensis (rubber tree). The record is from RNAcentral. Lineage: Eukaryota; Viridiplantae; Streptophyta; Magnoliopsida; Malpighiales; Euphorbiaceae.
CUCCUCUCUUCCCAUGAAGAACUUCACCUAAGCUUCCAUGUGACAUAUACUCGUAGACUAAUAGAUUUGUCUCUUUAUUGGAACAAAAUCCCAGCAAUCUCACAAUGUUCCUGUGUCUAAUUCUGNNNNNNNNNNNAUUUCUGCUGAGAGACCAUUGUCAUGAGAUGACCCUUUGCUUAUUCCCAUCAAUUUCUUCACUGCUACUUGUUCUCCAUUUGGCAUUAUCCCUUUAUACACAAUCCCAGCUCCUCCUCUACCUAUGAUGUUGUUUUCCUUGACACAUUCUAGUAUGUCUUCACAUCCGAAUUCCAGCUUU